UGUCCUCCCUCAAUCUUCUAGCAGCCGGUGCUCGUUGGCCUCUCCUCACUAUUCAGCUGUUGAUUGUAUGAAAUAGAUGGUUAACACUUUAUUUUGUUGGUCCCUACUGGACGGUAGUGAUGUUGAGACACAAGAGAUUAUCAGGCCUAUGCAUAUAUAUAAAAUUGUUCAUGGAUCUUUCUUAUCUCUGAUAUAAUUUUUCCAAUGAUCAAAGAACUGUUGUUCUGGAUGUACACCUAUUGUGUUGCUUAUAUUGCCAUCACUCUUCUGGUUUACCUUAGGAGUAGUACCAAUCUUAGAAAAUGCUCCUAAUUUGGGUAAAAUUUGGAAACAUUAUGGAUGGAUAAAUUUAUGGACUUGUUCCUUUAUUACAUAAUUGUAUAGCCUAUGAUCUUAUACAGUUGAGGGCAGCUUAUCCUAUUCUUUAUGUGUGAAGUUAAAAGCUAAAUAUAGCUAAUGACAUAAGUGAUCUAUUAAAAUAUAUCGCGGAAGUAAGUACUUAUUUUUGUUUCUACUUAUUACCUAAUUUGAAUGUGAAUUUUUCAAAGACAUACAGUGUUCCAUAUAGUCUAAUUUAAUAUACCAGCGAUGAUGGUAUUGAAUCCGCGAAGAAAAUAUAUACUCAUUUCCUAAUUGCAUCUUUUAAUCAGGAGGUCAGGACCAAGCUUUAGGCAGGAAAAUGGGACAAUCUUCAGGAGAUUUCACCGAUGCCACAAAGAUGCUGCUGCAUCGAACGCAUAGGAUAAGAUGAUAUUAAGAUGCCAAAUAGCAGGUUGCUUCAAACCAGGGGAACUGGCUGGUUCAUAGAUAGUAGAACAUUCAAUCUUCGACGAUGCUCAGGGAGCAAACAAGGGGAAUUAGGGAAAAGUAUAUAUUCGUCCCUGGACUCGCUCAAAAGUAUAGAAACGGUCCUUCAACUUUAAAACCGGCAAAUUCAGCACCCACGUGGGAAUCUUCUUCUUUUCCAUUUUAACUCGGCUGGGCAUUUCGUCGAGCAGUUGGCGCCACCAGGCAACAAGAGGAAGAGAAACCCAACAGUUAAUGGAGAAAUCAGGUCACUUUGCAUCUACUUUGCCUCAGUUUUUUCAGAAGUCAAUAGAGUUUGUAAAAAAAAAAAGAAACAUGAUCCUGCGACGGUUGCCCAGACUUUUUUUUCCGGGGUAGUAAUGUUUGGAUGGGACAUGUCCCUCCUUACGUAAUCACUUUGUAAUUUCUACUUGUGCUAUGUAAUAGACGCCUUACAU
Long non-coding RNA from Triticum dicoccoides, 1244 nucleotides. RefSeq lists it as uncharacterized. The record is from RefSeq and is a predicted model, not a curated record. Lineage: Eukaryota; Viridiplantae; Streptophyta; Magnoliopsida; Poales; Poaceae. The transcript has 6 exons.